CUGUAAAAACAGUCUCGGAGCAUGAGAAAAUUAACUUCACACCCCGAAGUGCUUUGCGGAUUUGUGCACAUACGGGAGGCCGGCAGAGACGUCCUCUUCUUUGGUGGGAGCCCUGCGACCUGGAGCCCCACUCGAAGUCUUUUAGUGGGACAUUCUCUGGGUCCAUCCAAACAGGGUUUGUGGAAAUGGCAGGAGUUGGUCAAGCAGUACCCGGGGAGUCAGGAGCCGGCCAGGCAGCAGCUGGGGAGUUGGGAGCUGAUGACCUCUGGCAGGCUUAACAGGUGUGAACAGUGCCAAUGAUGGUGCUGUUGAGGCACCAAUAGGCACAGAGGGUCCCAAUGAGGCCAGAACCGAUAAGGAGGGUGCCAUUGAGGUACCAACAGGCAUGGAGGGGGCUGACAGGAUGGCAGGAGAUGAGGUAGGAGGUGACCGAACCAAAGGUACAGAAUGCUCCAACAAACUUCCAGGUGAGCAGGACACAGCCAGGGUACCUGUAAGCGAGCAGGGCACAACUGGGGCACCUGGAGGUGAGCAGGGCACAACUGGGGCACCUGGUGCCACCAAUGAGACUACUUGGGUUUUCUGUGGGGCAGCAGGUGAGACACAGCAACCCAAAAAGUUUGUGUCUUAGUCAGAGGCAUGGUUUCACCUGGGUCAGAACGACAUCUCUCAGGUCAGGUUUGGGUGGCACAGCUGCUGUGGGACCAGGUGUGGGAAGUGUGGCCCCUCUUGAGCCAGGAGCCUGGGGACACUUUAAGAUGUUGCACUUAUCACAACACACCCAUGUAAAGCGUCUUGGGGCGAGUCUAUUGUGAAAGGUGCUACAUAAAAACAGCAUGGGUGGCAGCCUCCCUUGGGCAAGGUUCUGGAGGCUCGGGCACUUCUUGUAGAGGAAAACAUAGAAGAACAAUCAGCUAUUACAAUGCAUUUAGUCAAACAGGUUAUAUCAGUAAUUAUGUUUAUUUUAUUUAGUUUCAUUUUAUUUUAAUCACACUAUACAUUCCUGGACAAACAUUGUUGAACACAGUGUAUUAGUGGUUCAGUGUAAUAGAUGGGUGCACAUGACACCAUGUGUGAUACCACCAUGAUAAUUUCUUGCUUACGUGGCCAUGGGUUCGUAUUCCAAAGACAAUGCAUUUCUUUUUAAAAAUGGCAAUGAAAGCUCUGUGAUUGAAUUAUUGUGACAAGAAUGAAUUAUUUCUAGCCAUUAAUUUCAGGUCAGUCAGGUCAGGUUGGGAAGCAUGCAUUGGCAAUUCAAUUCAAUUUUUUUUUGUAUAGCACAUUUUCACAACAGUAGUGUCACACCGAGCUGACGAGGGAGACACAAAUCCAGAAGUACGGGGAAAGCCGGGUUUUAAUAAGGCAAAGAGCAAGCAGUUACAGGCAAGAGUCCCCUCCACACAGGUAAUGCAGGAGAGCACUGCAGCCCGAGUAACCGGGGAGGUGGUGCAGGGCAGAGGCACCCUCCUUGUGGUGGUGAUCUGGCAACCAGGUCCAAAUGGGGUGAGCAGUAAUCGUGGUCGAGAGACGAGAGCGUUGGUCGAAAGCCGAUGAGUCCGUCCGACGGAUACACACAGGACUGGGUAACAGGAGGGCUGGACGACGAGGGAAGCCGGGCUCAGCAGGACUGGAGAAUCAAGGACGGGAGUGGGACUAAGGAGGUAAGGGAUAAGAGGUAAGGGUUUCACAAAAGGUAAACAGGCAAGGAACGGGAGCAGACGAGAACGGCAGACAGAAGAAUGCUCGGUAAGGCUAGUCAUUAGCGCAAUACUUCGCAGUUUGACUGUGAUCUUCUCCCUCCUUAAAUAAGGGAGGCAAUUAGUCCCUAAUGCCCGACACCUGGUUGACCCGCCUCCGUGGGCGUGACAAGUAGGCACAGCCUCACGAAAGUUGGACAUGACAAUAAAAGUGAUUUGAUUUGAUUUUGAUCAUGCAGCUCCUGGUGCUGAUUCUGAUGACAGGAUGAACAGUUGUACAGUAUAGCAGGAGGGCAGGCAGGAGAGACAUCACAAGAGACUGAAUCUCGCACAUCCACUGGGAUCCACUGCAGAGCUCUUUAAGCGAAAGAAAGAUUCAAAGGUAUCAUUAUCAGUCCUAAUAUGACUAGGAGAAGACUGAUAGCUGUAUGUCGCUACACACAUGCUCCAGGUGGUAUAUCUAAUCUUAAUUAUUUUACCAUUAAAAAUGUAGUCAUCAUUCCUAAGAGCUUCUGGGACUUGUGAGUUUAACAUUGAAGAAGUUUUUGUUAACUUAGACACAGAUUCAAACAGGAAUUUAGGAUUGUUUUUUGUAUUCUUCUAUUAGUCUGGAGAGAUACAGAGACGUAGCAGUCACUAGUGCUUGUCUAUACUCAGAGAGACUCUCUUUUCAGGCGGAUCUGAAAACUUCUAGUUUACAGUAGUUGAGCGCCAUAUAUACAUAUAUGAUCAGAGUACCAGGGGGCAGGUUUCUUAUCCUUAUGCUUUAUCUUCUUAAGUUGAGGUAUAAGAUCAAGAGUGCUGUGAAAUGAUUUAUCAGUGUUUACAGUUACUUGUUCAAGUGCAUUUUCAGUGUAAGGUUGAAGGAUUGUGAAAAUUGGUCAAGAAACUAUGAAACGACUGUACUGUAUUUCGGAGCUGGGGCCAAAGGAGCCUGUAUUGUAUUUCAGACAUUAACAAGUAAUGAUCUGAAUGUAGAGGAUUCUGUGGGGUAAUAGAUACAUGUUCCACCAGGACACCAUGGCUAAGAAUCAAAUCCAGGGAGUGGUUACAGGCAUGAGUAGGCCCGACUACAUUCUGACGCACACCAUCAGAGUCAAGAAUAGCAGCAAAUGUUGUGGUU
Paramormyrops kingsleyae is the source of this 2820-nucleotide long non-coding RNA. RefSeq lists it as uncharacterized. NCBI's taxonomy places the organism in Eukaryota, Metazoa, Chordata, Actinopteri, Osteoglossiformes, Mormyridae. The record is from RefSeq and is a predicted model, not a curated record.